UCAUCUAUUAAAAAAAAAAUGUAAAAAGAAUAAUUAAAAUAAUAUCUCUCAAAUGAAUAUUCUUAAAUUCCCAAUUAGAAACUGAAACUCGACUCGUACAAACCUCUCCUCCAUUUUCGUCUGCAGACGCAGAAAUAUGCAGAUGUAGGUAGAAAGAUAUUCCAGAGCGAGCGCAAGUGGCGUAGGGGACCAAACCCUACGUCAAUCUGUAGGGCCCACAAGAAAGGCAUCUAGGAAAGUGGGGCCCACCUAAUCAGCAGCAAAAAACAACGCUUUUCAGCCGCCGGUGGCACUGCCACCAUCUGCGGCGUUGCUGCUCUGGCGGUGGCAGUCGCAGAAUAAAUGUAAAGAGC
This 353-nucleotide long non-coding RNA is filed under the name Olea europaea (common olive). Its description in RNAcentral is "long non-coding RNA (OEUR_LNC014926)". The record is from RNAcentral. Lineage: Eukaryota; Viridiplantae; Streptophyta; Magnoliopsida; Lamiales; Oleaceae.